Long non-coding RNA from Dermochelys coriacea (leatherback sea turtle), 449 nucleotides. RefSeq lists it as uncharacterized. The transcript has 3 exons. NCBI's taxonomy places the organism in Eukaryota, Metazoa, Chordata, Testudines, Dermochelyidae. The record is from RefSeq and is a predicted model, not a curated record.
GCGAAGUGCUUGGAAGUGGACCUGAAGCACUUAGAGACGGAAAAGGCUAAGCUGGAUCAAUCAGGUAGCCCUAACAAUCUUUCUCCAAGUACCGCUUCUCAUUCCAAGGUAGGUGAUGAUACAGAGGCCUUCUUAGAAAAUUCUGAAAGGGCCUGCUUUGGGUACAGCAUCCCUACAGACCAGUAUAUGGUGGAGCUGAGGCCACAACUCAGUGGAUCCUUAGCAGAGGUAGCAGCUGAAAUGCCUAAAGAAGAGUACGAACUUUUUAAACAAAAGGCCAGAAUUAGGAGGGGCUAACACCGGAGCAUGCCCGUCGGCAGUUUAGAGCCCUAAAGUGGAAACCAGACGUGGCAUUUUCCCGACACGCCUACCACAUUGUAAAGAAUUGGGAUGCCUGGAUAUUAGGAGCAAACGUUAAGUCUCUGGUAGAUCUGCAGGGGGGAAGAAGG